RNAcentral lists this ribosomal RNA (432 nucleotides) under uncultured bacterium. Its description in RNAcentral is "bacterial SSU rRNA". It matches the Rfam family "Bacterial small subunit ribosomal RNA", at positions 29 to 507 of the family's 1533-position model. The record is from RNAcentral.
AGCGAACGCUGGCGGCAGGCUUAACACAUGCAAGUCGAACGCCAUCUUCGGAUGGAGUGGCAGACGGGUGAGUAACGCGUGGGAACGUACCCUUUGGUUCGGAAUAUUCUCGGGAAACUGGGAGCAAUACCGGAUAAGCCCUACGGGGGAAGAUUAUCGCCAAAGGAGCGGCCCGCGUCAGAUUAGGUAGUUGGUGGGGUAAAGGCCUACCAAGCCUACGAUCUGUAGCUGGUCUGAGAGGAUGAUCAGCCACACUGGGACUGAGACACGGCCCAGACUCCUACGGGAGGCAGCAGUGGGGAAUCUUGGACAAUGGGCGCAAGCCUGAUCCAGCCAUGCCGCGUGGAUGAUGAAGGCCUUAGGGUUGUAAAAUCCUUUCAACGGGGGACGAUAAUGACGGUACCCGUAGAAGAAGCCCCGGCUAACUUCGUG